GGAAAUUAUAAAGUCACAUCCUGCAGCAGCAGCUUGGCACGAAUAUUUAAAAAAAGGGAAAAACCAGCCUGCUAUCCACAGUGUCCCGGGUCCAUUGUAAAACACUGGCCUGUGUUCUCGUGGUGAGACUGGAUGAUCCAGUUGGAGCUCCCCAAGGAGUAACCAGAGCUUAAGGGCGAGACCCGGACCGCUCCAAACAACUCCUGGAUACAGAGAGGUUGUUACUGUGUACCUCAGGGAGACAGAACUCUGGCUGGGAGUCCACAAACACUCUUCGGGUCGUCGUCAUGCAGGGAGACGCAGCAACGACCCAUCGCCAACGCUCUUACGCACACGGGGCAUUUCAUCCGUUCUUCUUUGCAGAACCUCUCAGGUUCCAUCAGGUUGGAUGUUGUACAAUUUAAAUUAAUUUAUAUAGGUUUGCCACUUCUGGAAAAGGAAACUUGUGAUUUACAGAAGUUAUAUCCAAUUCC
Gasterosteus aculeatus aculeatus (three-spined stickleback) is the source of this 473-nucleotide long non-coding RNA. Lineage: Eukaryota; Metazoa; Chordata; Actinopteri; Perciformes; Gasterosteidae. The record is from Ensembl.